UACGUAGGGUGCAAGCGUUGUCCGGAAUUAUUGGGCGUAAAGGGCUCGUAGGCGGUCCGUCGCGUCGGGAGUGAAAAGCUGGGGCUUAACCCCAGUCCUGCUUCCGAUACGGGUGGACUAGAGGUAGGUAGGGGAGAACGGAAUUCCUGGUGUAGCGGUGAAAUGCGCAGAUAUCAGGAGGAACACCUAUGGCGAAGGCAGCACUCUGGGACGGUACUGACGCUGAGACGCGAAAGCGUGGGGAGCGAACAGG
Molecule: ribosomal RNA, 253 nt
Filed under: uncultured bacterium
Lineage: Bacteria
Description: partial 16S ribosomal RNA
Rfam family: Bacterial small subunit ribosomal RNA
Source: RNAcentral